Molecule: long non-coding RNA, 1726 nt
Organism: Anas platyrhynchos (mallard)
Lineage: Eukaryota; Metazoa; Chordata; Aves; Anseriformes; Anatidae
Source: RefSeq, a predicted model, not a curated record
UGUCGAGCCUUUGCAGGAGGUCAGUGGGGAUUCAGAUGAGAAGCCUCACACGUGCCAAGGGAUGUGCACCUGAGGCUGAGAGCAUUUUAUCACGCACUGCCUGCGUUACACAGGGAGGGAGACGAUGCAGUCAUGGGGCAGGAAGGUGAGCUGGCAUCUCUGAGGGAUGACGUCUCCUCCUGUGUUGGCACCAGGGAUUUUGUCCUAAUGCAGCUGUGUGCAUGCGGCAAAGCUCCCGCAGCUGUGACUCUAAUUCUUCUUGCUUCCCAUGAUGGGAGGAGCCCACUGAUGAAUUUUGGCAGGCUGGCUUCAGGCAGAAGCAGCACUCGCUGACUUGGCCUGUGUUGGGUGAGUGCCUCUCCAAGGAGGUGAGCUUCUGUCACCUUCACUGGCAUCUUCACCAGUUUGCAAUACCUCCCAAGGAGGCCGUGCUGCUAAAGCUCUCUACUCCCAACCCUCUGCACCCCAGGCGUGGGUCCUGCCUUGCUCUCUGCCUCACUCCAACAGCAGCGAAAUUCCUUUUUUAUUAUUUUUUAAAGAUAACAGCAGAAUUAUACAUAGCGACAGUCUGUCGGCAGGGAGGAAGACGUAUUUCCCGAGGAAGCUCUUGCUGGUGCGUGUUAGGAUCAUGGAUGUAUAAAUACUGAGCAGCCAGUUAAUUUCAGUGAGCUUUUGGGACAAUGGAAGCUCUUCGGUGGAUUUGCAAAAUACCUGGCUGGCACGUGGUAGCAGGGGAAUGCGAGAAUGGGACCUCACCGAGGGCAAAUAUUAAAACAGAGGAUGAAAGUUUGAGAGAAGCAGUGAUGAAAAGUUCAGAAAGGUCGGUUGUAUGGGGGCUGUACAAGGCUGUGAAGAGACAGCUAAUACUAUAGGGCUCGAACAGUGGAUUCCAGCAGGGAAUUCAGCUGCCCGGUGGAUUCAAGCAGUUCUGUAGCUGCCCAAAGACACCCAGAAUCCAAGGUACAUGUGCAGAGCAACUCAGCCUGGUUUCUCUUUGUGAACCAUGAGGAAAAAUACUAUUUAGUGGUUCAACCAUCAGAUCUGCAGUGAGGAUCUGGGUGCUUCACCUCUACUUGCAAAGCACCCCCCUGCCCCUGCCAUGUCCCAGGGCAGCAGCCCCAGCACCAACAUGGCUCAAGAGCUGUCAAACAAGCUGACAAGCCCUGUAUAUCUGGGGCAUCUCUUCAAGGCAGCGUGUGGUCGUCAACCUCUGCAGCCUCCAGAUGAGUCCCCACACAUUGCUGCACCCUGCUCAGUGUGCAGAGUGUCGUCUGGAGAGGACAGGGUACAUUUACAGAACAUUUUGACACCUCCUAAUGAAGAGGUUAUAAAUAGAGAAGAAGGGUUAUCAGUCUUUCCAUUUAUGCUUGACUAGGUCUGCUUAUGUAUUUUGGAACAGCAGCAAAGCUUUACCAUAGAGGGAGAGAAAAAGGGAUGUUUGCCCUUGAAAAUAAAACAUUGGAGGUCUCUCACCAAAGCCCCAGGUGAACUGGGGACUGGGUGUGCUGGGCCACCCCACAUCUGGCUCUGUGAUGUGAAGCAGAGCCCAUAGCAAGGACCCUGGACACCAUCUCUUGUAUUUGUAGAUCUAGGACACAGUCCUUGUCCCAGAGAGUUUGCGGUCCCAUGAGAUACCUCUCUGCUAGUAGGCAUGAAGGACCAACAUAAAUGAUCAUAGAAUCAUAGAAUCAUAGAAUAUCCUGAGUUGGAAGGGACCCUUAAGGAU